RNAcentral lists this ribosomal RNA (254 nucleotides) under uncultured bacterium. Its description in RNAcentral is "partial 16S ribosomal RNA". It matches the Rfam family "Bacterial small subunit ribosomal RNA", at positions 524 to 776 of the family's 1533-position model. The record is from RNAcentral.
UACGAAGGGGGCUAGCGUUGUUCGGAAUUACUGGGCGUAAAGCGUAUGCAGGCGGAUCGUUAAGUCGGGGGUGAAAUCCCGAGGUUCAACCUCGGAACUGCCUUCGAUACUGGCGAUCUUGAGUCCGGGAGAGGUGAGUGGAACUCCGAGUGUAGAGGUGAAAUUCGUAGAUAUCUGGGAGGAACACCGGUGGCGAAGGCGGCAUCCUGGACCGACACUGACACUGAGGAGCGAAAGCCAGGGGAGCAAACGGG